UACGUAGGGGGCAAGCGUUGUCCGGAAUCAUUGGGCGUAAAGCGCGUGUAGGCGGCUCGGUAAGUCUGCUGUGAAAGUCCAGGGCUCAACCCUGGGAUGCCGGUGGAUACUGUCGAGCUCGAGUCCGGAAGAGGCGAGUGGAACUCCUGGUGUAGCGGUGGAAUGCGCAGAUAUCAGGAAGAACACCAAUGGCGAAAGCAGCUUUCUGGGACGGUACUGACGCUGAGACGCGAAAGCGUGGGGAGCGAACAGG
RNAcentral lists this ribosomal RNA (253 nucleotides) under uncultured bacterium. RNAcentral's name for it is "partial 16S ribosomal RNA". It matches the Rfam family "Bacterial small subunit ribosomal RNA", at positions 524 to 776 of the family's 1533-position model. The record is from RNAcentral.